Lepus europaeus (European hare) is the source of this 733-nucleotide long non-coding RNA. RefSeq lists it as uncharacterized. The transcript is spliced from 5 exons. NCBI's taxonomy places the organism in Eukaryota, Metazoa, Chordata, Mammalia, Lagomorpha, Leporidae. The record is from RefSeq and is a predicted model, not a curated record.
UUACACAACUCCAGCGAGCCAGCGGACCCGGCCCGAGUCUCCGCCAGACUCACCCAUCAGAAACAAUUUUCUGUUUGAAAUGGGUGUCAACAAUCUCCUCUCGAAAAAAACAGCGAUCUCCCCAGUUUCCCCUCCCUAGAGGCAACCGCUUUCAGCUCUUGUGGCAGAAAAUAAUUUCAAGGUUCGAUUUACUGCCUGUGGAACAUCCUGUGCGAGGAAUCCUACAGGAUUUUUGUGUCUGGCUUCUUUCGCCCCAAAUGGUAUCUUUGAGAAUCACGCAGAAGUGUGUCCUGCUGCAUCAGAUAAGGAUAAGCUGUGAUACAACAGGAUUAAUUUGUCCAAAGUUGCAGAAAGAGAAAAUGAAAGAAUCAGGCUUCUGACCCCCUCUGCUGUAGCUGCCUUCAACACACAGAAACAAAAGAGCUCGGGGCCAGUGCUGUGGCGCAGCAGAUUAAGCCCCUGGCCUGAAGCGCCGGCAUCCUGUAUGGGCACUGGUUCAAGACACGGCUGCUCCACUUCCCCUCCAGCUCUCUGCCAUGGACUGGAACAUCAGUAGAAGAUGGUGCAAGUCCUUGGGCCCCUGUACUCACGUGGGAGACCCAGAAGAAGCUUCUGGCUCCUGGCUUCGGAUCAGCACAGCUCCAACCAUUGCGGCCAAUUGGGGAAUAAACCAUUGGAUGGAAGACCUCUCUCUCUCUCCCUCCCUCUGCCUCUCCUCUCUCUGCCUCUCCUC